RNAcentral lists this ribosomal RNA (790 nucleotides) under uncultured archaeon. RNAcentral describes it as "bacterial SSU rRNA". It matches the Rfam family "Archaeal small subunit ribosomal RNA", at positions 88 to 879 of the family's 1478-position model. The record is from RNAcentral.
GCUCAGUAACACGUGGAGAACGUGCCCUUAAGUGGGGGAUAAUCUCGGGAAAUUGAGGAUAAUACCCCAUAGGUCAUGGGAUCUGGAAUGACCCAUGGCUGAAAGUUCCGGCGCUUAAGGAUCGCUCUGCGGCCUAUCAGGUAGUAGUGGGUGUAACGUACCCCCUAGCCUACGACGGGUAUGGGCCUUGAGAGAGGGAGCCCAGAGUUGGAUUCUGAGACACGAAUCCAGGCCCUACGGGGCGCAGCAGUCGCGAAAACUUCACACUGGGGGCAACCCCGAUGAGGGAAUUCCUAGUGCCAGGGCUUUUUGUCCUGGCUUUUCUCCAGCGUAGAUUACUGGAGGAAUAAGGGCUGGGUAAGACGGGUGCCAGCCGCCGCGGUAAUACCUGCAGCCCGAGUGGUGGUCGAUUUUAUUGAGUCUAAAACGUUCGUAGCCGGUCCGGUAAAUCCCUGGGUAAAUCGGGAAGCUCAACUUCCCGAAUUCCGGGGAGACUGCCGGACUUGGGACCGGGAGAGGCUAGAGGUACUUCUGGGGUAGGGGUAAAAUCCUGUAAUCCUGGAAGGACCACCGGUGGCGAAGGCGUCUAGCUAGAACGGAUCCGACGGUGAGGGACGAAGCCCUGGGUCGCAAACGGGAUUAGAUACCCCGGUAGUCCAGGGUGUAAACGCUGCAGACUUGGUGUUGGGGGCCCUUCGGGGGCGUCCAGUGCCGGAGAGAAGUUGUUAAGUCUGCUACUUGGGGAGUACGUCCGCAAGGAUGAAACUUAAAGGAAUUGGCGGGGGAGCAC